Molecule: long non-coding RNA, 1176 nt
Filed under: Vulpes vulpes (red fox)
Lineage: Eukaryota; Metazoa; Chordata; Mammalia; Carnivora; Canidae
Description: lncRNA (ENSVVUG00000007222.1)
Source: RNAcentral
CUGAGUCACUGGGUGGACAGCUGCCUGGGACCGUUACCCACACUCACAGAAGAUUUUAUGUGUAAGGCAAAUAUAUUUUUGUGUGCUAAGCUAAUGAGAUUUUGGGAUUUUGUUGUGGUAGUUGUUACUUCAGCUUAGACUAAUUUAUCUUGACUAAUAUAAUAACUGCAUAAUUUGAGAGUGAAAUAAGAGAAGGGUAAAUUCUCAACCAUUAUAGGAAGUAGCCUUGUGAAAGCUUAAGUCAUUUCUAGUUCUUACCCAUUUUGGAGGCUUCUCAGGCAACAACAAAGAGACUUCAAAGGCUUGAUGGCAGAAUGCCCAUCUUGCGGGUCCCUGAUGGUCACAUAGGAGCCACAAGGGCCUGGUAAACGUUGUCAGGACACUCCUGAUUUCCCACCAGAGGGAGAAUAGCCUCCAGUUAGGAGCUAGUCUCAUCAGUUAACAGAGUGAAGAAUGUCAGUUGGAAAAUAUCAGCUCCUAAGGUCAGCUCGAGGCACCAGCCACACAGUGGGACACCCGUGAAGGUGGGUUGAUAGGGAGCUCUGAAAGCCUGAAGAAGAGGCACAGAGCCCCUAUUGAGAACCUUCUGAAAGGCUGACCUCACAACAGAGCCCUCUGAGGCUCUCACCACACCUGAUCCAGCAUCUGGCACACAGCAGCAUUCCAGCCAAUGACAAAUGCACAAAACCAAACAAAGGACAGUCUUGGAGGAAGUUUCUGACAGGCCUUACAGGGCCUGGAGAAUGGUGUGUCUCCAUAAAUACCCUUGAGGAACAUCUGAUUCUCCUGCAGGCUACUCCUGGAUCUUCCAGGACACACACAAACCAUCUACUAAUACCUGCAGGAAGCCCACAUUUGCUCUCAUCCGAUGCCGAAGGCAUACACUAGAAGAUGCUUGCAGGAGCUUUGUUCAUACACCCGCAGAAGGAUGAAGACAGUCCCCCAUCAGCUCGACAGCACUUCAAGUGUGGUAGAGCUUGUCAUGUCACAGAAGAAUGACAGAUGAUAUUUAGCGACAUUCCUGGCAACUAAUUUCAUUGGUUGAGAAUGUCGUUGUAAAGAGCUCUCAGCCUAGGGCGAGGUAAUUAUUGCCUUCUUAUGAAUUCAAGAACUCCGAGAAUGGAAGCUUAAAGAUGCACGAAUAAGCUUUGUUUCUGCCAUGUUUUGAUGGGCAAG